UUCCAUUAGCUCUGCCAGGGUGGCGGCUU
This 29-nucleotide small RNA is filed under the name Bombyx mori (domestic silkworm). Its description in RNAcentral is "ovarian small RNA-9562". The record is from RNAcentral. Lineage: Eukaryota; Metazoa; Arthropoda; Insecta; Lepidoptera; Bombycidae.